Long non-coding RNA from Esox lucius (northern pike), 1864 nucleotides. The record is from Ensembl. NCBI's taxonomy places the organism in Eukaryota, Metazoa, Chordata, Actinopteri, Esociformes, Esocidae.
GGGCCCUUUUAACAUUCAAAAAUUUGAACCAUUAUUAAGGCUUACCAGAUUACUUAAUUCCACAUUUUGACAUGUCCCUACAUGAACUCUGUCACCUAUAGGAAGAUCUCACUCACUCCAAACAGCUAUUUAAUUUCUUAACAUUAUUUAUUUAGUGUGAUUUAUUUACAUAUGUUCUUAAAUUCAAGUUGAGACUAUUCUUUGUUUACUAAUGUUUAUGGAUUAUUAUACUGUCAACCCAAUUACUUUUUCACUUAGUAGGUGCUUACUGUAGCAUAGUGUUUUUUCUUGAAAUACUUUUGUAAAAUAUAUUUGCCCAUGCUUGAUUGUUUGCUCUGAUCCUUCAGGACUCUGAUGGAAGCCCCCGUAAAAUGAAGAUUGUGACACAGAGGCGUGGCUUAUCAGCACACAGGGCUGCCCUCUUGGAUUGACCAAUCACAGGGCUACAAGUUCCUCCUCUGGCAGCCAUUCUAGCCACCCAAACAAGGGCAUGGUGGACAGAGCGAGUUCAACAUCUCGUCAGAAUAGCCAUGCUGACACACAGACGAGCUUUGGAACAGGACAGUCGUCAGGCAGCAACAGCAGGAGCCACCGUGGCAACAAGCAGAGGAGAAAAACCCAGCAUCAACGCAAAUCUCCACCUGCAGUUGAGAACCUCUGUAGAUAAGAGGCCUCGUGUAACAGAUUUCACAUAACUCUCAGUCUGUGCUGCCAAAACCAAGGCAAGGGAGGCAAUCUUACCAUGUCUUUGGCGGUGAUAUCUUCAUGCCAAGUUGGAAGAAUGUUCCUCCUUUUUUUGUCGGUUGAAAGGGCAGAUGGACGCUAUCCUCGUCUUUCUGUAAUGUUAACACACCUGUACAAGAAGGACGUCAAGCCUCAUCAGUUAUUCCUGAACUUAAGCAGUGGCUGUAUCUCCUCGUGCAUUUGAGUAACAGAACUGGGAAAACCUUUUUGGGGGUUGGGUCUUUGGUUAAUUCAGCCUUACAGAAGAAAUGACAAGGAAAAAAAGGAUUGGUGUAAAACUAUAGAACUUAAUGCUAUGUUUGGGGAAAUGCUUGCACUGACAAAAGGAGCCGUUGAAAAUGUUUUUCAGCAACUUAUCUCCUUAGUUUGCAAAGAAAAAAAGUAGACCACAAAAUAUUUGUGUGAUUUAAAAGUAAAAAUGGCAGAAGGAGAAGAAAAAAAAAAAACAUUACAAUGAAUAGGGAUUGUAUAUUUGUCACCAGCUGAAGUAAAAAAAAAAAGAAAAAUUAUAGAUUUGCCAAUUCUUGUGAACUGGGCCAAGUGUGGGUUCAAAGUGCCAACUCCAGCCAUCAGCAAAAUAGAUCCUUGCUAGAGUACUGUGAAUGAGAGCACAAAAUCACCUAAGGAUCAGGCCAAGGAUCAACCCUAAUGGACCAGUCAUAAUAAGGAAGGGGUGUCAUUUUUCUAAUGAUCUAUUUCACAAUACCGUUAAAUCACCGUAAUAUCUUACUAUUUAAUGUUACUGGUGGAAUACACAAUACCACUAUAUCUACGAUUUUCAAGCUUCCUAAUAUGAAAAUAUCAGUACUCUCCACUAUUUUGCAUAUUACAAAAUGAUUUGUAUUUGUUUAUGUAUUUAUUUUUUUAGUAUAUUUAUAUGAAUCUCUAAAUGUUAAUUGAUCGACAGCCUGGGAGUAGCCUGUCUCCUUGUGUAAAAGAUGGUUGAGAAUGUUGUGCUGAAUAUUUCAGACGCCCUCUGUGUCAUAAUUAAUGUCAUGUACUUACCUGGGGCUUGUCCAACACUACACUUUCACUCACCUGCCCCUUCCUGCCGAUCUCUUAUGCCUUCAGCGUUCACAGAUUUAACAUGAUCUAACCAGGUGCAACCAAUGUGGUGAAA